Molecule: unclassified non-coding RNA, 386 nt
Filed under: uncultured Candidatus Methylacidiphilaceae bacterium
Lineage: Bacteria; Pseudomonadati; Verrucomicrobiota; Methylacidiphilae; Methylacidiphilales; Methylacidiphilaceae
Description: uncultured Methylacidiphilaceae bacterium contains 16S-23S intergenic spacer region
Source: RNAcentral
UCUCCGUUUCACAGAGCAGUCUGUCUCGAGUGCGUAGGACUCUCGUCCUACUAGCAACAAGACACAGGGGUUGCGCUCGUUACCGGACUUAACCGAACACCUCACGGCACGAGCUGACGACAGCCAUGCAGCACCUGUGUACGCUGGUAUUGCUACCUCGUUAGGCUUUCACCCUUCUACUACGUACAUGUCAAGGCCAGGUAAGGUUCUUCGCGUUGCAUCGAAUUAAGCCACAUGCUCCACCGCUUGUGCGGGCCCCCGUCAAUUUCUUUGAGUUUUAAUCUUGCGACCGUACUCCCCAGGCGGUGCAUUUAACGCGUUAGCUCCGAGACGAAGGGGGUCGAAUCCCCGCAUCUCAAAUGCACACCGUUUACAGCUAGGACUAC